AAUUUUGUUCCUUAACCAUCUAGUUCUCAUUCUUUCCUUCCUUCACUGUAUAUUGUGUAACUGUCUUUAUCUUUUAAAGCAUGCACUAUGUCUCUUAAUUGUCUUCAAGAAAAUUGCAAAGCACUCUGUAAUUCUGCAAAUCCAUUACGUCAGCAAGCUAAUAUUUUUAUAACCAUCUAUACUAGUUGUAGACAUGAGUUUCAUCUCCUCAGAAAUCCAAUACAGCUGUUAUUUUAAUGUGGUGUCUCUACAGGGUAAGUGGCUUGUGCAAACAUUGCUUGGCAUCGAAAAGAGUAAAUGCUAAUUCUACUUGAUGGCCUUUUUGCUUUUAUUAGCUUAUUGCAGUUGCACAGAUAUUUUUAUCUCCAUAGGGCAUGUAUGCAUGCACAGUGGUGCAUGCACAUGCAUGCUGGGUGUCUAAUGGUUUAGUUUAUGCGUGAAAGGCUAUGUUAGGUGGUUUUCAGUGCCAAAGUUUACAUUGUUAUUUUUACUUUUGUAAACAAUAUCAGGUAAGCCUUCUAUGUGACAUGCAUAUGGAUUUAGUUAUGUCUCCCCACAUUUACUAUAUACUUCUUGGUUAAACAAAAAAUAUUGUGCAUGGAUGCUGUGGGAAUAUAUUUAUAAUUUUAUAUGAUAAUGAUGAUGUUCAUUCAUUGAAGAUAGAAUUGCCUCAGAUUUAUUUUUAAAGGUAAUUUGAUUAUAUAACCAAUGAACAAUGGCUUGUUAAUGCUGAACCUGACUCUUGUAUUUACAGGGUAAAACUUAUGGUGAAGUUAUUUCAUACUUCUUUUUUACCUUAAUAGCCUUGUAUCAUGCUUGUUUAGUAGCUGAUAAAUGACUAACAAGUUUCUCUAGUACUUUUGUUCAGAUAACCUUUUUUUUUUCUUCUUUAAUUACUGUUUGUUGACUUUU
Theobroma cacao (cacao) is the source of this 912-nucleotide long non-coding RNA. RefSeq lists it as uncharacterized. NCBI's taxonomy places the organism in Eukaryota, Viridiplantae, Streptophyta, Magnoliopsida, Malvales, Malvaceae. The record is from RefSeq and is a predicted model, not a curated record.